This 321-nucleotide unclassified non-coding RNA is filed under the name Hevea brasiliensis (rubber tree). The record is from RNAcentral. Lineage: Eukaryota; Viridiplantae; Streptophyta; Magnoliopsida; Malpighiales; Euphorbiaceae.
GAAUCAGUGUCCUUCAUCUUGCGUGCCAUCAGAUUCAGAAACUCCGGGAAAUCAAUCGUCCCAUUCUGAUCAGCAUCAACCUCAUUGAUCAUGUCCUGCAGUUCAGCUUCGGUCGGAUUCUGGCCGAGGGAUCUCAUCACAGUACCCAGCUCCUUAGUGGUGAUGCAACCGUCGCCAUCCUUGUCGAAGAGGCUGAACGCCUCCUUGAACUCCGCGAUCUGGUCCUCGGUGAGUUGAUCCGCCAUUUCGAGAAGACGAUGGGAUCAGCGGCGGUGAGUAUUCGGCCCCUUCGUCUCAGAGUAUUCGGCCCCUUCGUCUCCG